CCUAAUUUAAAAGUGUGUUUUUCUGACCUUAGGCUUUUAGCCCAGCUGCCAAGAGCAAAUGUUGUUCUCUUGCGAUACCUUUUUGGAGUGCUAUACAACAUUGAGCAACAUUCGUCAUCCAAUCAGAUGAAAGCUUAUAAUUUAUCCGUUUGUAUAGCCCCAUGCGUUCUUUACCCACCUGAUUCCGAAAGCUUGGAAUUGGAAGACAACAUGAUAAAAAAGACUCCGGUCGGAAGACUGUGAAAAGCCAUUUUUUCAGAGACAGGGCCUUUUGGUGGGGCUCCGGCACUUCCCAGCACACCCAGUGCACAGCCCCACCUUCCGCAAAGCCAGGACAGCUCUUUGGAGUUUCCCUCAUGGAUGUGUGUGAUAAAGACAACUUGCCCUUCCCAAUUCUGGGUAUGCUUUCCUUUAUUAAUGAAAAAGGGCCCCUCACAGAAGGCAUAUUCAGAAACUCAGCCAAUAUAAAAUCCUGCCAUGUCCUAAAGGAAAAACUGAAUUCUGGGGUCAAAGUGAACCCAUACAGCGAAUCUGUUCAUGUGGUCGCAUCCGUCUUAAAGGUAGGGAAGGUUCUAGCAGUAUCUACACACGAGUAACUGAAGCUAUGACUGGUGUCCUUCAUCAAGACUGCUCAAGAACAAUAAUGGGCAUAAUAGAUUAAGAACCUGACAAGCUGAAAAACGCUUAACAAAAGCAAAAUUUAAGGAAGCGACUUUAGGAGUUAAAAGCCCCAUGUGUUAGAAAUACUUUCUCUUUUCACUACACACCGCCCUCCCCACCUUCACUCCUAAAGACUCCAUGCAAAAUACUAAUACUGAAAUGACUACUAGUCAUGAUAAUAAAUUUCGAAAUACGCACCGAUACAUACACACAGUUUACCCAUGAAAACAUCCUCACCCCCCUCCUAAU
This is a long non-coding RNA of Mirounga angustirostris (Northern elephant seal), 909 nucleotides long. RefSeq lists it as uncharacterized. The record is from RefSeq and is a predicted model, not a curated record. Lineage: Eukaryota; Metazoa; Chordata; Mammalia; Carnivora; Phocidae. The transcript has 3 exons.